Impatiens glandulifera is the source of this 897-nucleotide long non-coding RNA. RefSeq lists it as uncharacterized. The transcript has 4 exons. The record is from RefSeq and is a predicted model, not a curated record. Lineage: Eukaryota; Viridiplantae; Streptophyta; Magnoliopsida; Ericales; Balsaminaceae.
CAAGCUCUGAGGUGGAUUCUGGUGGAGAAUUUUAGCUCGUGUCUCCUGUCCCCCUCCAGCAUUCCAAAUCCGAAUCUUUCGAGGUUGAACCAGCGAGCAUGAACUGUUCGAUGAUCCAACCGUCUUUCGAACGUGGUAAGUGUUGACCAUGUAAAAGGCUGCGAACACAGAACUUUAGAAGGAAAUCAAAUCUUCAAGUGAUCUUUCUUUCCUCUUUUGGGACUCCCCUCUCCAGGUUUGGCUAUCUCAAGGCUGAAAUUAAGCUUUCUAUUUCUUGUGAGUUAUUGAUAUUGAACUAAAUGGCAGCAACAACUAGAAUGCUAUAUAUGCUAAAGUUAUGGUCAUUUUCAUGUGCUUUGUUACAACGCUUUGGCUUAAAAGAAGAGAAGUGGAAACAGAACAGAAAAAAAGAAGUAAAAAGCAUAGAAAAAGCCAUGCACAAAAGCUUCAUGGAAUAAGUCCAUGACAGAUGAUGAUACCAAUGGAUUAAGGAUGAUAAGAACCCAACUUACCUUUGGAACCAAACAACAACCUCUCAUGUUGGGCCUAUGCCUUCCCAAAUAAAGCCCAAAUUAGUGUGGUUUUCCGGGCCCAGGUAAACCUUCGGGUUAUACUUUAUAGUUUGCAUCUGUUUAUAAAGAUAUGAUAAACAGAUAAAGAGCCCAUUUAAUUGAAAGUGGUUAUACUUUCUACUUGUGAUUCAACUUGCAUAAGGGGACCCCUUUUGCAUACUCAGUAAUAUUAAAUAUAGAUAAAUAAAUUGUGGAAUGCAACUUGACACUUGACAGUGCCAUUUCCUUUGUUUGUAGUUUGUUCUGUACUUACCACACAACCAUUUUUUUUUUUCUCUUAACUAAUAAUAAUAGCAGCUGGUUCGUGGGGACCAUUGAUUUCCUA